GUGAAACCUCUGCAAGCUGCAUGGAAACUUUUUAAAGACACCAUGAUAGAGGCUCAACUGAAAUCUAUACCCCAAAUUAAAAAACAUAGUAAGAGAACCAAAAAAGUGCCACCGUGGCUAAACAACAAAGUAAAAGAAGCAGUGAGAGG
This is a long non-coding RNA of Chelonia mydas (Green sea turtle), 149 nucleotides long. RefSeq lists it as uncharacterized. The transcript is spliced from 2 exons. The record is from RefSeq and is a predicted model, not a curated record. NCBI's taxonomy places the organism in Eukaryota, Metazoa, Chordata, Testudines, Cheloniidae.